GCACCCUUAGCUCAGUUGGUAGAGCAGCGCAUUUACACUGCGAAGGUCCCAGGUCCGAAUCCUGGAGGGUGCA
RNAcentral lists this transfer RNA (73 nucleotides) under Candidatus Adlerbacteria bacterium RIFCSPHIGHO2_01_FULL_54_23. Its description in RNAcentral is "tRNA-Val". It matches the Rfam family "tRNA". Rfam says of the family: Transfer RNA (tRNA) molecules are approximately 80 nucleotides in length. Their secondary structure includes four short double-helical elements and three loops (D, anti-codon, and T loops). The record is from RNAcentral. Lineage: Bacteria; Candidatus Adleribacteriota. RNAcentral also lists the same sequence under 1 other name.